GAAUCUCCCUAUUUAACUACUGGAUUAACCACCUAACUGCUCUACUCUUUACUCAUAACAGGUUUGCCCAUCCCCCAUUUGAUGUUGACAGAAUUUUUUUAAAAAAGAAAAAAAAAAGAAAAAAUAAAAAGGGACUGCUGAAAGAAGAAGGAGAGGAGAGGGAAAAAAAAAAAGAAAAAAAAAACUCAGGUUCUGCAAAUUAUUUUGAUUGACCUUGCUAUGACAAGUGAAUUAUGACGUCAAGUAUGUUGAAUGGAGAGAGAAGAUGGGCCUCUGCAAGAAGAAGUGGCAUGACUGUGUUGGGGAAAGUUGCUGUUCCCAAGCCUAUCAAUUUACCAAGCCAAAGGUUAGAAAAUCAUGGCCUGGACCCAAAUGUUGAAAUUGUUCCCAAGGGUACCCAUAGUUGGGGCAGUAGAUCAUCUUCUUCCGCAUCAAAUGCAUGGGGUUCUUCCUCUUUGUCUCCAAAUAAUGAUGGUGGAACUGGUUCACCAAGCCAUCUUAGUGGCCGCCCUUCAUCUGGUGGAAGUGGCACUCGACCAUCAACUGCGGGUAGUGACAAAGCUAAUGAACCUAUUGUUAAUGCAUGGGGUUCAAAUUCUAGGCCAUCAUCAUCUUCUGGAGCAUUGCCAUCAAAUCAGACAUCACAUGGAGCAUUGCGUCCUCGUAGUGCAGAAACAAGACCUGGUAGCUCACAAUUAUCGCGGUUUGCUGAACAUUUGUCUGAUAAUUCAGUGGCAUGGCAUGCAAUGGGAACAGCAGAUAAGUUGGGAGUAACAUCCUCUAAGAACGA
RNAcentral lists this unclassified non-coding RNA (790 nucleotides) under Hevea brasiliensis (rubber tree). The record is from RNAcentral. Lineage: Eukaryota; Viridiplantae; Streptophyta; Magnoliopsida; Malpighiales; Euphorbiaceae.